UGCAGCCGCGGCCAUGUGAUAUGAAAAUGCCCGCACUUUCUCUGUUGGAGGGUCGCAGGCACCGUGUUCUGCCACCUUCGUUUAUAAUGAAAGGAAGCGCCAAGUUUCAGUUAGGGUUAAAUAAAGAUGCCAGUUUUCCCCAUCCGGGUUGAAAGCCCCGUUGAACUCUAUCCAAGUACCCUGGGACUCUCUGGGCGAAGAAAAUAGUAGAAGGAAGUGUUUUCUGCAAACGGAGACGGGAACAGGCCCUGCGGAAGGCUCCAGGGGACCCAGAGCCUGAAGACCACAGCUGAUCCCCUGGCCCCUGAAGUUGAUAACGUCAGAAUUUGUGAGAAAGGAGAAAACAUGUUUUCCAUGAAGCAUGCUGUUUGCAUCCUUUCUUCUGCCUCCAAAGCUCAACAUAGAUCCUUGAUCCAUGAGGAGAACCCAGAGGCAGGGGCUUGGCAAUGGCAUCGGUCUGCGGUAGUGAUGGGUUCGCCUCUCAUUCCAAGAUGCUGAAUGAUCUUUGACCAGUAACAUCACCUCCCUGACCGUGAUUUUCACCUCCAGAGAAUGGGAGAGGAAGAAGCGUGCCUGGGGGACCAGGCUGAGGAUGAACUGUAAGCCUGCUCUGAUGGAAACUCUCAGUCACCACUGAGGUCCACUAUCAGUGAAAUGGACUGAAAUUGAUGUACACCUGAGGACAGGCAGCGAGUGUCUAUUAUGUUUAUGCAGCAGGUGUU
This is a long non-coding RNA of Saimiri boliviensis boliviensis (Bolivian squirrel monkey), 722 nucleotides long. RefSeq lists it as uncharacterized. The record is from RefSeq and is a predicted model, not a curated record. NCBI's taxonomy places the organism in Eukaryota, Metazoa, Chordata, Mammalia, Primates, Cebidae.